Molecule: ribosomal RNA, 168 nt
Filed under: Amsichthys knighti (bugeye dottyback)
Lineage: Eukaryota; Metazoa; Chordata; Actinopteri; Pseudochromidae
Description: partial 12S rRNA
Source: RNAcentral
CACCGCGGUUAUACGAGCGGCCCAAGCUGAUAGCCUUCGGCGUAAAGGGUGGUUAAGAAACUUAUAAAACUAAAGUCAAAUACCCUUAAAAUUGUAUAAAGUACUCAAGGGCAAGAGGAACACCGACGAAAGUGACUUUAUUUAACUGAAACCACGAAAGCUAUGAAA